RNAcentral lists this ribosomal RNA (595 nucleotides) under uncultured bacterium. RNAcentral describes it as "bacterial SSU rRNA". It matches the Rfam family "Bacterial small subunit ribosomal RNA", at positions 64 to 635 of the family's 1533-position model. The record is from RNAcentral.
GAACGCGAAAGGGGACUUCGGUCCCUGAGUAAAGUGGCGCACGGGUGAGUAACACGUGGAUAAUCUGCCCGGUGACCCGGAAUAACAUCCCGAAAGGGGUGCUAAUACCGGAUAAGCUCACGAGAUCUUCGGAUCUUGCGGGAAAAGGUGGGGACCUUCGGGCCUACCGUCACCGGAUGAGUCCGCGGCCCAUUAGCUAGUUGGUGGGGUAAUGGCCUACCAAGGCUUCGAUGGGUAGCUGGUCUGAGAGGAUGAUCAGCCACACUGGAACUGAGAUACGGUCCAGACUCCUACGGGAGGCAGCAGUGGGGAAUUUUGCGCAAUGGGCGAAAGCCUGACGCAGCAACGCCGCGUGAGGGAUGAAGGCCUUCGGGUCGUAAACCUCUGUCAGAGGGGAAGAACCGUCGGUGGGAUAAUACCCCAUCGGCCUGACGGUACCCUCAGAGGAAGCACCGGCUAACUCCGUGCCAGCAGCCGCGGUAAUACGGAGGGUGCAAGCGUUGUUCGGAAUUAUUGGGCGUAAAGCGCGUGUAGGCGGCCACUUAAGUCUGGUGUGAAAGCCCUGGGCUCAACCCGGGAAGUGCAUCGGAUACUG